GCCCAAGAGAUCGGGAUAACACCUGGAAACAGAUGCUAAUACCGGAUAACAACAGAUGAUGCCUAUCAACUGUUUAAAAGAUGGUUCUGCUAUCACUCUUGGAUGGACCUGCGGUGCAUUAGCUAGUUGGUAGGGUAACGGCCUACCAAGGCGAUGAUGCAUAGCCGAGUUGAGAGACUGAUCGGCCACAUUGGGACUGAGACACGGCCCAAACUCCUACGGGAGGCAGCAGGU
RNAcentral lists this ribosomal RNA (234 nucleotides) under uncultured Lactobacillus sp. RNAcentral's name for it is "partial 16S ribosomal RNA". It matches the Rfam family "Bacterial small subunit ribosomal RNA", at positions 128 to 354 of the family's 1533-position model. The record is from RNAcentral. Lineage: Bacteria; Bacillati; Bacillota; Bacilli; Lactobacillales; Lactobacillaceae.